AUUUUCAGUUUUUGGGGAGGGAACUGAGCAUCGUUUUAGAAAAAGAGGGAUUUUUGUUGAGCAAGAAACCUAAGAAACUUGGACAAAAGAUCUGGAAUCUACAAAUUUUCCUUACAAAAACACAGUUACUUUAAUCGGGUUCGUUCGAGUUCGAGUAGAGAUCCGAGAUUCAUACCCCGUUCACUGCACCUACAAAAGUCCAAGCGAUUCCUCAUCUUCCCCGCAUUUCGACGUUGGGCCAAAAGCCCAACAAAACUCUACUCGAGUCGGCUUAAUAUGGUAGCAGUCCAGCCUGCAGCACAAACAAAAAACAUAAAUUCUGGGCUAAAACCCAAUAGGCCCGACCACUGUAGCAGCAGUCCAAGAAAAAAUGGGCCUAACCCAUUCACUCUUCACUCCCUUCAUCAUUUUUAUAGUCGUGUAUUUUAUUUGCCUUGUAUGACUAACAUUUUUUUUUGUCUCACUAGAUUAAAUGAACCGUAGUAAAGUUAGUAGGACUUAGUUUAGUAAUGGGUAGCUAGUUUCACAAAUUACAUUCACUUCCAUUUUCUAAAUUAUUUAUAGUAUUUAUAAUAUUUUGAGUAAUUACUUUUCAAA
Molecule: long non-coding RNA, 597 nt
Organism: Lycium barbarum (goji berry)
Lineage: Eukaryota; Viridiplantae; Streptophyta; Magnoliopsida; Solanales; Solanaceae
Exons: 2
Source: RefSeq, a predicted model, not a curated record